This 1880-nucleotide long non-coding RNA is filed under the name Homo sapiens (human). Its description in RNAcentral is "long non-coding RNA NONHSAT118242.2". The record is from RNAcentral. Lineage: Eukaryota; Metazoa; Chordata; Mammalia; Primates; Hominidae.
ACUGCCCAACUGCCACUGCCCAGCCUGAUGGCUCCACAUCUCAGGAGUAGGCUCUGAUUCCUUGGGGCCCCAGGAGCCUCUCAGGAGUCUACAUCCCAAGAUGUUCUAACUUCCAGAGUCUCCAAGCCCAUCAAGAGCAAGUUUUGCUAAAAGUGUUCUGAGAGCUUAUGAAGCACAUGGACAAGGAAGGGUUGUGCAUCCGGCUUUCCACCUUAAACUGGUUUCUAUGGUGCUUCAUCGAUGAGAUAAGGAUGCAUAGGAGACCCCAGGCCAGGAGUUCCUUCAGGACACACUGUCCUAGGCCUGGGCCCUGGAGGAGGACAUGGUGAUGAGGCACCCUGAGGCCUCCAUGGGGGAACUGAGAAGCAUGCACUGUGACCUGCACACCCAGCCAAACCUGAGCAAGCACCCCCACCACCCAGGCCUCUGCAGAUAUCCCCCAGCAUUGAGACCCUCCCCAAGGGGAUGGGCUGCUUCUCCCUGGCCCACAGCCCAGCUCCAGCAGCCCAUGGGUAUAGCCCUCCUGAAACAGGAGCCUCAUCCUCCCUCACCCUCACCUGGCUAUGCUGUACCCAAGGCCAAAGCCCAGAGGCAUAAGGGAGCUUCUGCAGAGCCCAGGACAGCAGGCUGCUCUCUGGGGGCCCUGGGGACUCAGAGUGUGGCCAGCCCAUCCCCAGCUCAGGAUAGACCACAGAGUGCUUGGUGAUUCCUGCAUUGGAACUCCCUCUCUAAGCUCCCCAUGGACCUGGACCUCAGAGGCCUGUGGUUUUCACAGUAGAGCUUGGAGCAGAGAUGCUAGGCCCCUAUCACUUCCAUAUGUGUCCUGGACACCUCUAAGAUCAUAGGACUGGCCUAGCCCCCAAUACCAGACACUGCCCAGUCCCCUGAUAGCCCAGAGGUAGGGCCAGAGACAACUCUCCUGCAUGUGAUGCCUACAGCUGAUCACUCUUGGCAGACAGUGAACAUCACGGCCCAGAAGGAGCCAGGGCAGCACUUGGCAAGCUGCCCCAAAGCCCCAGAGAGCUCCUUAGACAUGGAAAGUCAAUACUGAUGGGGAAGCUGGACACUUGGAGGCCACUGGAGGGAGGGGUGAGCAUGGUGUCCCCACAGCCCAGGCCACCCAGCAGCAUGCCCUGCAUCCAUGGUCCCAACCUGUAGGGCAGAACCCCCCUCUCAACGCACAAUUCCUAGACCCAGAGGGCCCUAGCCCAGACUCAACCUGAGCCCUGAAAGGGAAGGGGCACCAGGGGUGCCUUGGGGCCUCCAGCAGCAGCCAAGAUACACAGGAGAUGGAGCCCCCUGUGGCCCUGGCCAGAACUAGUAUUUGGCUUAAGGCGGAGCAAGCCCCCUUGGAGCACUGCGUACAUACCCGGGGCCUAUGUGUGCCUGGCAAGGCCAAGCUGAUGAUGUUACCAAGCUCAAACUACCACUGGCCACCUUGGUGAGGGUGGGGCAGAAACACGUGGACCAGCCACCAACCUCAUCCAUUCAAGGAAGCAGAAAUGGUCAGGCUCCUGCAGGAUAAGUGGCCACCACCAGACCACCAAUGGGGCAGAGUUCUGAGGCCCAAGCAGAUGGCACUGGGGCCCUGCUUCCAGGGUCCACAAUCUGCUCCAGGACACAAGACUGAAGAAAACUAAGCAAAUGAGAGUCCAGGAGGCUGGAUCCCUCAUCUGCCAUUCUUGGCAGUUGCAUUUUGUGGUCAGAAAAAGUCAGGAAACUUGGCUCUACUCACUGCAGGAGGCUCCAAGGUGGGACCAGAGCUUCCAGCAUAGAUUCAACAAUGCCUAAGAAUGCCUCUUCUUGGGGAAAAGGACCCCUUCCUUGGCCUCAAAGCCCCCACUUAUUUUGAUUAAAGCACAAUAAAGUCUUUGUUGUUA